Molecule: unclassified non-coding RNA, 314 nt
Filed under: uncultured fungus
Lineage: Eukaryota; Fungi
Description: partial contains 5.8S ribosomal RNA and internal transcribed spacer 2
Rfam family: 5.8S ribosomal RNA (bases 1-133)
Source: RNAcentral
UGGUUCUGGCAUCGAUGAAGAACGCAGCGAAAUGCGAUAAGUAAUGUGAAUUGCAGAAUUCAGUGAAUCAUCGAAUCUUUGAACGCACAUUGCACUCCUCGGUUUACCGGGGAGUAUGCCUGUCCGAGCGUCAUUACACCUCUCAAGCUCUGCUUGGUCAUGGGCCUCGCUCCUUGGGCGUGCCUGAAAUGUAGUGAGCGGUCCCGUCGGUCCUCGAACGUAGUAACAUCUCCCGUUCUGCAGGCCCCGGCGGCGGCUGGCCACAACCCCUAUUUUCUACGAUUGACCUCGGAUCAGGUAGGAAUACCCGCUGA